CCUACGGGAGGCAGCAGUGGGGAAUCUUGGUCAAUGGGCGCAAGCCUGAACCAGCGAUGCCGCGUGAGUGAUGAAGGCCUUCGGGUUGUAAAGCUCUGUGGGGCGAGACGCGGUAUCGCCUUAGCAAGCACCGGCUAACUCUGUGCCAGCAGCCGCGGUAAGACAGAGGGUGCAAACGUUGCUCGGAAUCACUGGGCGUAAAGGGCGUGUAGGCGGGAGAGAAAGUCGGGCGUGAAAUCCCUAGGCUCAACCUAGGAACUGCACUCGAAACUUCUUUUCUUGAGUGCCGGAGAGGAAAGCGGAAUUCCUGGUGUAGAGGUGAAAUUCGUAGAUAUCAGGAGGAACACCAGUGGCGAAGGCGGCUUUCUGGACGGUACUGACGCUGAGACGCGAAAGCGUGGGGAGCAAACAGGAUUAGAUACCCUUGUAGUC
Molecule: ribosomal RNA, 432 nt
Filed under: uncultured bacterium
Lineage: Bacteria
Description: partial 16S ribosomal RNA
Rfam family: Bacterial small subunit ribosomal RNA
Source: RNAcentral